Molecule: non-coding RNA, 125 nt
Organism: Triticum aestivum (bread wheat)
Lineage: Eukaryota; Viridiplantae; Streptophyta; Magnoliopsida; Poales; Poaceae
Source: Rfam
UUUAUACUCCCUUCAUCCAGAAAUACUUGUCGUAGAAAUGCAUAAAAAUGGAUGUAUUUAGACCUAAAAUACGUCUAGAUACAUCCAUUCCUCCGAUAAGUAUUUUCGGACGGAGGGAGUAUAUG